This 101-nucleotide small nuclear RNA is filed under the name Symbiodinium microadriaticum. Its description in RNAcentral is "U2 spliceosomal RNA". It matches the Rfam family "U2 spliceosomal RNA", at positions 1 to 103 of the family's 192-position model. From Rfam's summary of the family: U2 is a small nuclear RNA (snRNA) component of the spliceosome (involved in pre-mRNA splicing). Complementary binding between U2 snRNA (in an area lying towards the 5' end but 3' to hairpin I) and the branchpoint sequence (BPS) of the intron results the bulging out of an unpaired adenosine, on the BPS, which initiates a nucleophilic attack at the intronic 5' splice site, thus starting the first of two transesterification reactions that mediate splicing. Lineage: Eukaryota; Dinophyceae; Suessiales; Symbiodiniaceae. The record is from Rfam by way of RNAcentral.
AUCUCACUCGGCCUUUUGGCUAUGAUCAAGUGUAGUAUCUGUUCUUAUCAGUGUGACAACUGAUAUGUCUCCAACUGGAGACUUGCUUGUCACAUCUAUUU